UGGGGAAUUUUGGACAAUGGGGGGAAACCCUGAUCCAGCCAUCCCGCGUGUGCGAUGAAGGCCUUCGGGUUGUAAAGCACUUUUGGCAGGAAAGAAACGUCGCGGGUUAAUACCCCCCGAAAACUGACGGUACCUGCAGAAUAAGCACCGGCUAACUACGUGCCAGCAGCCGCGGUAAUACGUAGGGUGCAAGCGUUAAUCGGAAUUACUGGGCGUAAAGCGUGCGCAGGCGGUUCGGAAAGAAAGAUGUGAAAUCCCCNGAGCUUAACUUUGGAACUGCAUUUUUAACUACCGGGCUAGAGUGUGUCAGAGGGAGGUGGAAUUCCCGUGUAGCAGUGAAAUGCGUAGNUAUGCGGAGGAACACCGAUGGCGAAGGCAGCCUCCUGGGAUAACACUGACGCUCAUGCACGAAAGCGUGGGGAGCAAA
Molecule: ribosomal RNA, 427 nt
Filed under: uncultured bacterium
Lineage: Bacteria
Description: partial 16S ribosomal RNA
Rfam family: Bacterial small subunit ribosomal RNA
Source: RNAcentral